RNAcentral lists this ribosomal RNA (460 nucleotides) under uncultured bacterium. RNAcentral's name for it is "bacterial SSU rRNA". It matches the Rfam family "Bacterial small subunit ribosomal RNA", at positions 28 to 507 of the family's 1533-position model. The record is from RNAcentral.
GAUGAACGCUAGCGGUGUGCUUAAAGCAUGCAAGUCGAACGUGAUCCUUGGAUUCGUUCAAGGUGAAAGUGGCGAACGGGUGAGUAACGCGUUGGUGAUCUGCCCCGGAGUGGGGAAUAACUAUCGGAAACGAUAGCUAAUACCCCAGAUGUCUUCGUGUUUGGAAAGCGAUGACUAAAGUUCAGGCGCUCCGGGAGGAGCCUGCGUCCCAUCAGCUAGUUGGUAGGGUAAUGGCCUACCAAGGCACAGACGGGUAGGGGGCGUGAGAGCGUGGCCCCCCACACUGGUACUGACACACGGACCAGAUGCCUACGGGUAGCAGCAGCUAGGAAUAUUGGGCAAUGGGCGAAAGCCUGACCCAGCAACACCGCGUGAAGGACGACGGCCUUCGGGUUGUAAACUUCUUUUCGAGGGAAUGAGAAAGGACAGUACCCUCGGAAUAAGGCCGGCUAACUACGUG